This is a long non-coding RNA of Nilaparvata lugens (brown planthopper), 624 nucleotides long. RefSeq lists it as uncharacterized. The transcript has 6 exons. The record is from RefSeq and is a predicted model, not a curated record. NCBI's taxonomy places the organism in Eukaryota, Metazoa, Arthropoda, Insecta, Hemiptera, Delphacidae.
GUUGAGGAUGAAUGGUUACACAAAUAUCUCGUCAGAAUUGCUGAAGACUUGAAAGCAGAAUGUAGGCUAUGAUGCUGUUUGCUGGAGGUGUGGAAACCAUGACUCAAUAUCUGUGUGCAUUCGUUCAUCGUAGUUUGGCACCCUGCUAUGAUCUCUUGAGCUGUUCUCCUGUCAUGGACCACAAGCUUCAAGUAUGGCACUUGACAGAUGGUUUUCACGUGGAACUGAGAGAAGCAGAAUCGGACAUGGAUUUGAGAAAACUUUGAAAAGCAGGUUUGAACCAGAUUGGUGGUGGUGGAGAUACAUGACAACGUUUCUCAGUGCAAUGCAUCGAUGCUGAUAUGAGCUGGAGGACAUCCUCAUGUGACUUGAGUCAUCGACCAGAGCCUUCAAGUGUGGCUGUUAACAGCUGGUAUGCAGCAGAGAUUGGUGGAGGUGGGUGGAGAUUGAUGACUGCAAUGCAUGGAUGCUGAUGUGAGCUGGGCGGGCGGGCAUCGUGACGUCAUCCACCCUUCUGUCAUCACCCGAAGCCUCCAAGUAGGACAUGACAGAUGGUGAUGAGAUGACAUCAUGCAAGCUGAUGGAGGUGAACCGGGCAGUGAUGGAAAAAUAUUUGCAAUGCAG